AGGUUAAGUUAACAAGGGCGCAUGGUGAAUGCCUUGGCACUAGGAGCCGAUGAAGGACGGGACUAACACCGAUAUGCUUCGGGGAGCUGUACGUAAGCUAUGAUCCGGAGAUUUCCGAAUGGGGCAACCCAGCAGUUUUAAUCAACUGUUACCACUAGAUGAAUUCAUAGUCUAGUUGGAGGUAAACGCUGUGAACUGAAACAUCUCAUUAGCAGCAGGAAUAUAAAGAAAUUUCGAUUCCCUAAGUAGCGGCGAGCGAACGGGGAACAGCCCAAACCAAAGUGCUUGCACUUUGGGGUUGUAGGACUGAACAUUUGAGUUACCAAAGAACUUGAUAGUCGAAGGAUUUGGGAAAAUCCGCCAUAGAUGGUGAUAGCCCAGUAGAUUAAAUCAAAUUCUCUCAGUUCAGGAUCCUGAGUACGGCGGAACACGUGAAAUUCCGUCGGAAUCCGGGAGGACCAUCUCCCAAGGCUAAAUACUACCUAGUGACCGAUAGUGAACCAGUACCGUGAGGGAAAGGUGAAAAGCACCCCGGGAGGGGAGUGAAAUAGUUCCUGAAACCAUGUGCCUACAAUAAGUCAGAGCGCGUUAAUGCGUGAUGGCGUGCCUUUUGUAGAAUGAACCGGCGAGUUAUGAUCCCGUGCAAGGUUAAGACUAAAAAGUCGGAGCCGUAGCGAAAGCGAGUCUGAAAUGGGCGUUUUGAGUACGAGGUUAUAGACCCGAAACCAGGUGACCUAUCCAUGUCCAGGUUGAAGGUGCGGUAAAACGCACUGGAGGACCGAACCCGUGUAAGUUGAAAAUUGCUGGGAUGAGGUGUGGAUAGCGGUGAAAUUCCAAACGAACUUGGAGAUAGCUGGUUCUCUCCGAAAUAGCUUUAGGGCUAGCCUCGGAAUUAGGAUCAUGGAGGUAGAGCACUAUUUGGACUAGGGGCCCGUCUUGGGUUACUGAAUUCAGAUAAACUCCGAAUGCCAUUGAUUCAUAUCCGGGAGUCAGACGAUGAGUGAUAAGAUCCACCGUCGAAAGGGGAACAGCCCAGACCAUCAGUUAAGGUCCCUAAAUGUAUGCUAAGUGGAAAAGGAUGUGGAGUUGCAUAGACAACUAGGAUGUUGGCUCAGAAGCAGCCACCAUUUAAAGAGUGCGUAAUAGCUCACUAGUCGAGUGAUCCUGCGCCGAAAAUGUACCGGGGCUAAGCAUACUACCGAAACCAUGGAUGCGACCAUUAGGUCGCGUGAUAGGAGAGCGUUCUAAGGGCGGUGAAGCAAGAUCGUGAGGACUUGUGGAGCGCUUAGAAGUGAGAAUGCCGGUAUGAGUAGCGAAAGAUAGGUGAGAAUCCUAUCCACCGAAUGACUAAGGUUUCCUGGGGAAGGCUCGUCCUCCCAGGGUUAGUCGGGACCUAAGUCGAGGCCGAGAGGCGUAGACGAUGGAUAACAGGUUGAGAUUCCUGUACUAGUUAAGUGCGUUUGAGCAAUGGAGGACGCAGGAGGGCUAAGAUGUGCAUUCUGUUGGAUUAGAAUGUCCAAGCAGUAAGUCUUGUGAAGAGUCAAAUGCUUUUCACUUUAAGGAACAAGCUGUGAUGGGGAAGCGAAAUUUAGUAGCGAAGCGUCUGAUGUCACACUGCCGAGAAAAGCUUCUAGUGAGUACUUAACUACCCGUACCGCAAACCGACACAGGUAGUCGAGGAGAGAAUCCUAAGGUGAGCGAGUGAACUCUCGUUAAGGAAUCGGCAAAAUGACCCCGUAACUUCGGGAGAAGGGGUGCUUGAUCGCAAGAUCAGCCGCAGUGAAUAGGCCCAGCGACUGUUUAUCAAAAACACAGGUCUCUGCAAAAUCGUAAGAUGACGUAUAGGGGCUGACGCCUGCCCGGUGCUGGAAGGUUAAAGGAUGGGUUAGCUUCGGCGAAGCUCAGGAAUUGAAGCCCCAGUAAACGGCGGCCGUAACCUAUAACGUCCUUAAGGUAGCGAAAUUCCUUGUCGGGUAAGUUCCGACCCGCACGAAAGGCGUAACGAUCUGGGCACUGUCUCAACGAGAGACUCGGUGAAAUUAUAUUGUCCGUGAAGAUGCGGACUACCCGCGACAGGACGGAAAGACCCCAUGGAGCUUUACUGUAGCUUGAUAUUGAGUGUUUGUACAGCUUGUACAGGAUAGGUAGGAGCCAUAGAACCGGAACGCUAGUUUCGGUGGAGGCGUUGGUGGGAUACUACCCUCGCUGUAUGACCACUCUAACCCGCACCACUAAUCGUGGUGGGAGACAGUGUCAGGUGGGCAGUUUGACUGGGGCGGUCGCCUCCUAAAAAGUAACGGAGGCGCCAAAGGUUCCCUCAGAAUGGUUGGAAAUCAUUCGCAGAGUGUAAAGGCACAAGGGAGCUUGACUGCGAGACAGACAGGUCGAGCAGGGACGAAAGUCGGGCUUAGUGAUCCGGUGGUACCGUAUGGAAGGGCCAUCGCUCAACGGAUAAAAGCUACCCUGGGGGAUAACAGGCUUAUCUCCCCCAAGAGUCCACAUCGACGGGGAGGUUUGGCACCUCGAUGUCGGCUCAUCGCAUCCUGGGGCUGUAGUCGGUCCCAAGGGUUGGGCUGUUCGCCCAUUAAAGCGGUACGCGAGCUGGGUUCAGAACGUCGUGAGACAGUUCGGUCCCUAUCCGUCGCGGGGCGUAGGAAAUUUGAGAGGACCUGUCCUUAGUACGAGAGGACCGGGAUGGACAUACCUCUGGUGUACCAGUUGUGCCGCCAGGCGCAUCGCUGGGUAGCUACGUAUGGAUGUGAUAAACGCUGAAAGCAUCUAAGUGUGAAACACACCUCGAGAAUGAGAUUUCCCAUUCCUUUAUGGAAGUAAGACCCCUGAAAGAUGAUCAGGUAGAUAGGUUAGAAGUGGCAGUGCGGUGACGCAUGAAGCGGACUAAUACUAAUCGGUCGAGGACUUAACCAAG
RNAcentral lists this ribosomal RNA (2926 nucleotides) under Lactiplantibacillus plantarum. Its description in RNAcentral is "Lactobacillus plantarum 23S ribosomal RNA". It matches the Rfam family "Bacterial large subunit ribosomal RNA". Lineage: Bacteria; Bacillati; Bacillota; Bacilli; Lactobacillales; Lactobacillaceae. The record is from RNAcentral.